CAGUCGCCGCGGUAAUACAGAGGGUGCGAGCGUUAAUCGGAUUUACUGGGCGUAAAGCGUGCGUAGGCGGCUUCUUAAGUCGGAUGUAAAAUCCCUGAGCUUAACUUAGGAACUGCAUUCGAUACUGGGAAGCUAGAGUAUGGGAGAGGAUGGUAGAAUUCCAGGUGUAGCGGUGAAAUGCGUAGAGAUCUGGAGGAAUACCGAUGGCGAAGGCAGCCAUCUGGCCUAAUACUGACGCUGAGGUACGAAAGCAUGGGGAGCAAACAGGAUUAGAUACCCGAGUAGUCCCUGUCUCUUAUAC
Molecule: ribosomal RNA, 301 nt
Filed under: uncultured bacterium
Lineage: Bacteria
Description: partial 16S ribosomal RNA
Rfam family: Bacterial small subunit ribosomal RNA
Source: RNAcentral